This 228-nucleotide microRNA precursor is filed under the name Amborella trichopoda. RNAcentral describes it as "miR8606 stem-loop (atr-MIR8606)". The record is from miRBase by way of RNAcentral. Lineage: Eukaryota; Viridiplantae; Streptophyta; Magnoliopsida; Amborellales; Amborellaceae.
UCCACCGAUUCUCCGAUUUGACAUGGGUAUGGGUGUGACUAAUACGAGUCACCGAUCCGUUUUUUUAAACCUUGGUUUCACCAUGUUCCCUUGACUUGUGAAUGGGAUCUAACCAUUAUACUAAGAAAUCCAUGACUUUUGUCAUUGUGAAUACCAAGGUUUAAGAAAAAGGAUCGGUGACUCGAAUCAGUCACACUUAUACCCAUGUUGGAUUAGAGAAUCGGUGGA